GACGAACGCUGGCGGCGUGCUUAACACAUGCAAGUCGAACGGAAAGGCCUAGCUUGCUAGGUACUCGAGUGGCGAACGGGUGAGUAACACGUGGGUGAUCUGCCUCGUACUUCGGGAUAAGCCUGGGAAACUGGGUCUAAUACUGGAUAGGACCAUGCUUUAGUGUGUGUGGUGGAAAGUUUUUUCGGUACGAGAUGAGCCCGCGGCCUAUCAGCUUGUUGGUGGGGUAAUGGCCUACCAAGGCGUCGACGGGUAGCCGGCCUGAGAGGGUGGACGGCCACAUUGGGACUGAGAUACGGCCCAGACUCCUACGGGAGGCAGCAGUGGGGAAUAUUGCACAAUGGGCGCAAGCCUGAUGCAGCGACGCCGCGUGGGGGAUGACGGCCUUCGGGUUGUAAACCUCUUUCGCUAGGGACGAAGCUUUUGUGACGGUACCUAGAUAAGAAGCACCGGCUAACUACGUGCCAGCAGCCGCGGUAAUACGUAGGGUGCGAGCGUUGUCCGGAAUUACUGGGCGUAAAGAGCUCGUAGGUGGUUUGUCGCGUCGUCUGUGAAAUUCCGGGGCUUAACUUCGGGCGUGCAGGCGAUACGGGCAUAACUUGAGUGCUGUAGGGGAGACUGGAAUUCCUGGUGUAGCGGUGGAAUGCGCAGAUAUCAGGAGGAACACCGAUGGCGAAGGCAGGUCUCUGGGCAGUAACUGACGCUGAGGAGCGAAAGCAUGGGGAGCGAACAGGAUUAGAUACCCUGGUAGUCCAUGCCGUAAACGGUGGGCGCUAGGUGUGAGGGUCUUCCACGACUUUCGUGCCGUAGCUAACGCAUUAAGCGCCCCGCCUGGGGAGUACGGCCGCAAGGCUAAAACUCAAAGGAAUUGACGGGGGCCCGCACAAGCGGCGGAGCAUGUGGAUUAAUUCGAUGCAACGCGAAGAACCUUACCUGGGCUUGACAUAUGCAGGAUCGGCGUAGUGAUACGUUUUCCCUUGUGGUCUGUAUACAGGUGGUGCAUGGUUGUCGUCAGCUCGUGUCGUGAGAUGUUGGGUUAAGUCCCGCAACGAGCGCAACCCUUGUCUUAUGUUGCCAGCACGUGAUGGUGGGGACUCAUGAGAGACUGCCGGGGUUAACUCGGAGGAAGGUGGGGAUGACGUCAAAUCAUCAUGCCCCUUAUGUCCAGGGCUUCACACAUGCUACAAUGGUCGGUACAACGCGCUGCGAGCCUGUGAGGGUGAGCGAAUCGCUGAAAGCCGGCCUCAGUUCGGAUUGGGGUCUGCAACUCGACCCCAUGAAGUCGGAGUCGCUAGUAAUCGCAGAUCAGCAACGCUGCGGUGAAUACGUUCCCGGGCCUUGUACACACCGCCCGUCACGUCAUGAAAGUUGGUAACACCCGAAGCCAGUGGCCUAACCCUUGUGGGGGGAGCUGUCGAAGGUGGGAUCGGCGAUUGGGACG
RNAcentral lists this ribosomal RNA (1441 nucleotides) under Corynebacterium diphtheriae. RNAcentral's name for it is "bacterial SSU rRNA". It matches the Rfam family "Bacterial small subunit ribosomal RNA". The record is from RNAcentral. Lineage: Bacteria; Bacillati; Actinomycetota; Actinomycetes; Mycobacteriales; Corynebacteriaceae.